GAUGAACGCUGGCGGCGUGCCUAAUACAUGCAAGUCGAGCGAACGGACGAGAAGCUUGCUUCUCUGAUGUUAGCGGCGGACGGGUGAGUAACACGUGGAUAACCUACCUAUAAGACUGGGAUAACUUCGGGAAACCGGAGCUAAUACCGGAUAAUAUUUUGAACCGCAUGGUUCAAAAGUGAAAGACGGUCUUGCUGUCACUUCUAGAUGGAUCCGCGCUGCAUUAGCUAGUUGGUAAGGUAACGGCUUACCAAGGCAACGAUGCAUAGCCGACCUGAGAGGGUGAUCGGCCACACUGGAACUGAGACACGGUCCAGACUCCUACGGGAGGCAGCAGUAGGGAAUCGUCCGCAAUGGGCGAAAGCCUGACGGAGCAACGCCACGUGAGUGAUGAAGGUCUUCGGAUCGUAAAACUCUGUUAUUAGGGAAGAACAUAUGUGUAAGUAACUGUGCACAUCUUGACGGUACCUAAUCAGAAAGCCACGGCUAACUACGUG
RNAcentral lists this ribosomal RNA (497 nucleotides) under uncultured bacterium. Its description in RNAcentral is "partial 16S ribosomal RNA". It matches the Rfam family "Bacterial small subunit ribosomal RNA", at positions 28 to 507 of the family's 1533-position model. The record is from RNAcentral.